RNAcentral lists this long non-coding RNA (397 nucleotides) under Hordeum vulgare. Its description in RNAcentral is "long non-coding RNA (HVUL_LNC013257)". The record is from RNAcentral. Lineage: Eukaryota; Viridiplantae; Streptophyta; Magnoliopsida; Poales; Poaceae.
GGGCGCAAGUGGAGAAGCAUGAAUUGCGUCCUUGCCAAGUUCAGUUUUCAUCUACAACAAUAGAAAAUUCUCGGCUUCGACACUCAAGCUGCUUUGCUGAUGAGGUGCAUUCGUUUGCUGGACAAAAAGCAAGGGGAAGUCUUGAGGAUCGUGUGAAAAUGAUCUGGAGGUCCUAGUGAAGACGCCACUUGCUUGGUGUCUUUUAUGGCCUUCUCUUGUCAUCUGGGACUGUAAUAAAAAUUAUAACGUGGCGAGAGGAUUCUGCUUCCUAGGUUAUAUAUUCUUUGUUUUCUAGCUUCCCAUGUGGGAUAUUGUCGCUUUAGAUGUUUUGAACUGGAUAUAGUUGUGGUUUGGGCUCUACGCCUGCUUUUAAUAAAAGUGGGACAGGGAGAAACCC